CAACUUUCAACAACGGAUCUCUUGGCUCUCGCAUCGAUGAAGAACGCAGCGAAAUGCGAUACGUAAUGUGAAUUGCAGAAUUCAGUGAAUCAUCGAAUCUUUGAACGCACCUUGCGCCCCUUGGCAUUCCGAGGGGCACACCCGUUUGAGUGUCGUGAACAUCCUCAACCUGCUUCGUUCUAUCGAACCAAGUAGGCUUGGAAUUUGGAGGUUUUUCUGCUGGCUUCCUCUGAAGCCCAGCUCCUCUUAAAUCUAUCAGUGGGAUCCGCUUUGCUAGAUCCUCGACGUUGAUAAGAUGUUUCUACGUCUUGGGUUUCGCUCGGGAAGGACCUGCUUCUAACCGUCCCCAUCGGGGACAAUGUUCGAGAGUCCGAUCGCCCUUCACGGGGUGGGAAGCUUUUCGACCCAUGAAAACCUUGACCUCAAUCGGGUGAGACUACCCGCUGAACUUAAGCAUAUCAAUAAGCGGAGGAAAAGAAACUAACAAGGAUUCCCCUAGUAACUGCGAGUGAAGCGGGAAAAGCUCAAAUUUAA
RNAcentral lists this ribosomal RNA (534 nucleotides) under uncultured Russulaceae. RNAcentral describes it as "eukaryotic LSU rRNA". The stretch from base 2 to 155 matches the Rfam family "5.8S ribosomal RNA". The record is from RNAcentral. Lineage: Eukaryota; Fungi; Basidiomycota; Agaricomycetes; Russulales; Russulaceae.